GCUGUCCCAGCACUGAGGAGGAAACACCAUGAUAUGUUGAGGACAGCUACAGUUCACUGACUCUGUGUGUUUGCAUAUCUGUCCUGCCUCUCUGCUCCCAGCCGUUAAGAGGCCAGUGUUGAUCAGUGGCUGUCCAGGCCUUUCAGAGCCACUGACACGCCGGCAGCACAAUGAUGAUGUCACUGAUUCCACUGCUGGCCACCCUGGGGCUCCUUGUUCAGGGUUCAUCAGGACAAAUCGUCCUGACUCAGUCUCCUGGAUCUCAGUCUGUUGUUCCAGGACAGACUGUCUCUCUCAGAUGUAAAACCAGUACGAGUGUUAAUAGCUGGCUGAGCUGGUACCUUCAGAAACCUGGAGAAGCUCCUAAACUCCUGAUUUAUCGAGCUACAAACCGUCCAUCUGGAGUUCCAGGUCGUUUUAGUGGAAGUGGAUCUGGGACUGACUUCACUCUGACCAUCAGUGGAGUUCAGGCUGAAGAUUCAGGAGUUUACUACUGUCAGCAGGGUGACAGCAGCCCGUUCACACAGUGAUACAACGUCGUACAAAAACCUCCCUCAGCUGGAGAGGAACUGAUCUGACUCAACAGCUGCACUGAAACUAAAACAUUAGAAGCUUCUCUGAAAGAAAACUCAUGAUUGUGUUAAAAAGUUAUAUUUUUAUUGUGGAAAUAUUUUUCAUACAA
Non-coding RNA from Siniperca chuatsi (mandarin fish), 682 nucleotides. Lineage: Eukaryota; Metazoa; Chordata; Actinopteri; Centrarchiformes; Sinipercidae. The record is from the annotation of a RefSeq genome assembly.